This is an unclassified non-coding RNA of Pongo abelii (Sumatran orangutan), 146 nucleotides long. It matches the Rfam family "Metazoan signal recognition particle RNA". Rfam says of the family: The signal recognition particle (SRP) is a universally conserved ribonucleoprotein. The record is from Ensembl. NCBI's taxonomy places the organism in Eukaryota, Metazoa, Chordata, Mammalia, Primates, Hominidae.
GCUGGGCGUGGUGGCGCACGCCUGUAGUCCCAGGUACUCGGGAGGCUGAGGCAGGGGAAUUGCUUGAACCCAGGAGGCAAAGGUUGCAGUGAGCUGAGAUUGUGCCACUGCACUCUAGCCUGGAUAACAGAGCAAGACUGUCUCAA